RNAcentral lists this ribosomal RNA (1266 nucleotides) under Curtobacterium sp. HI-F2. RNAcentral describes it as "bacterial SSU rRNA". It matches the Rfam family "Bacterial small subunit ribosomal RNA", at positions 9 to 1287 of the family's 1533-position model. Lineage: Bacteria; Bacillati; Actinomycetota; Actinomycetes; Micrococcales; Microbacteriaceae. The record is from RNAcentral.
GAGUUUGAUCCUGGCUCAGGACGAACGCUGGCGGCGUGCUUAACACAUGCAAGUCGAACGAUGAUGCCCAGCUUGCUGGGUGGAUUAGUGGCGAACGGGUGAGUAACACGUGAGUAACCUGCCCCUGACUCUGGGAUAAGCGUUGGAAACGACGUCUAAUACUGGAUAUGAUCACUGGCCGCAUGGUCUGGUGGUGGAAAGAUUUUUUGGUUGGGGAUGGACUCGCGGCCUAUCAGCUUGUUGGUGAGGUAAUGGCUCACCAAGGCGACGACGGGUAGCCGGCCUGAGAGGGUGACCGGCCACACUGGGACUGAGACACGGCCCAGACUCCUACGGGAGGCAGCAGUGGGGAAUAUUGCACAAUGGGCGAAAGCCUGAUGCAGCAACGCCGCGUGAGGGAUGACGGCCUUCGGGUUGUAAACCUCUUUUAGUAGGGAAGAAGCGAAAGUGACGGUACCUGCAGAAAAAGCACCGGCUAACUACGUGCCAGCAGCCGCGGUAAUACGUAGGGUGCAAGCGUUGUCCGGAAUUAUUGGGCGUAAAGAGCUCGUAGGCGGUUUGUCGCGUCUGCUGUGAAAUCCCGAGGCUCAACCUCGGGCUUGCAGUGGGUACGGGCAGACUAGAGUGCGGUAGGGGAGAUUGGAAUUCCUGGUGUAGCGGUGGAAUGCGCAGAUAUCAGGAGGAACACCGAUGGCGAAGGCAGAUCUCUGGGCCGUAACUGACGCUGAGGAGCGAAAGCGUGGGGAGCGAACAGGAUUAGAUACCCUGGUAGUCCACGCCGUAAACGUUGGGCGCUAGAUGUAGGGACCUUUCCACGGUUUCUGUGUCGUAGCUAACGCAUUAAGCGCCCCGCCUGGGGAGUACGGCCGCAAGGCUAAAACUCAAAGGAAUUGACGGGGGCCCGCACAAGCGGCGGAGCAUGCGGAUUAAUUCGAUGCAACGCGAAGAACCUUACCAAGGCUUGACAUACACCGGAAACGGCCAGAGAUGGUCGCCCCCUUGUGGUCGGUGUACAGGUGGUGCAUGGUUGUCGUCAGCUCGUGUCGUGAGAUGUUGGGUUAAGUCCCGCAACGAGCGCAACCCUCGUUCUAUGUUGCCAGCGCGUUAUGGCGGGGACUCAUAGGAGACUGCCGGGGUCAACUCGGAGGAAGGUGGGGAUGACGUCAAAUCAUCAUGCCCCUUAUGUCUUGGGCUUCACGCAUGCUACAAUGGCCGGUACAAAGGGCUGCGAUACCGUAAGGUGGAGCGAAUCCCAAAAAGCCGGUC